CAGUCGCCACGGUAAUACGUAGGGUGCAAGCGUUAAUCGGAAUUACUGGGCGUAAAGCGCACGCAGGCGGUCUGACAAGUCAGAUGUGAAAUCCCCGGGCUUAACCUGGGAACUGCAUUUGAAACUGUCAGGCUGGAGUCUUGUAGAGGGGGGUAGAAUUCCAGGUGUAGCGGUGAAAUGCGUAGAGAUCUGGAGGAAUACCGGUGGCGAAGGCGGCCCCCUGGACAAAGACUGACGCUCAGGUGCGAAAGCGUGGGGAGCAAACAGGAUUAGAUACCCCAGUAGUCCCUGUCUCUUAUAC
RNAcentral lists this ribosomal RNA (301 nucleotides) under uncultured bacterium. Its description in RNAcentral is "partial 16S ribosomal RNA". It matches the Rfam family "Bacterial small subunit ribosomal RNA", at positions 509 to 807 of the family's 1533-position model. The record is from RNAcentral.